RNAcentral lists this ribosomal RNA (1145 nucleotides) under Staphylococcus aureus. RNAcentral describes it as "partial 23S ribosomal RNA". It matches the Rfam family "Bacterial large subunit ribosomal RNA", at positions 153 to 1299 of the family's 2925-position model. The record is from RNAcentral. Lineage: Bacteria; Bacillati; Bacillota; Bacilli; Caryophanales; Staphylococcaceae.
GAUAUGUGAAUACAUAGCAUAUCAGAAGGCACACCCGGAGAACUGAAACAUCUUAGUACCCGGAGGAAGAGAAAGAAAAUUCGAUUCCCUUAGUAGCGGCGAGCGAAACGGGAAGAGCCCAAACCAACAAGCUUGCUUGUUGGGGUUGUAGGACACUCUAUACGGAGUUACAAAGGACGACAUUAGACGAAUCAUCUGGAAAGAUGAAUCAAAGAAGGUAAUAAUCCUGUAGUCGAAAAUGUUGUCUCUCUUGAGUGGAUCCUGAGUACGACGGAGCACGUGAAAUUCCGUCGGAAUCUGGGAGGACCAUCUCCUAAGGCUAAAUACUCUCUAGUGACCGAUAGUGAACCAGUACCGUGAGGGAAAGGUGAAAAGCACCCCGGAAGGGGAGUGAAAUAGAACCUGAAACCGUGUGCUUACAAGUAGUCAGAGCCCGUUAAUGGGUGAUGGCGUGCCUUUUGUAGAAUGAACCGGCGAGUUACGAUUUGAUGCAAGGUUAAGCAGUAAAUGUGGAGCCGUAGCGAAAGCGAGUCUGAAUAGGGCGUUUAGUAUUUGGUCGUAGACCCGAAACCAGGUGAUCUACCCUUGGUCAGGUUGAAGUUCAGGUAACACUGAAUGGAGGACCGAACCGACUUACGUUGAAAAGUGAGCGGAUGAACUGAGGGUAGCGGAGAAAUUCCAAUCGAACCUGGAGAUAGCUGGUUCUCUCCGAAAUAGCUUUAGGGCUAGCCUCAAGUGAUGAUUAUUGGAGGUAGAGCACUGUUUGGACGAGGGGCCCCUCUCGGGUUACCGAAUUCAGACAAACUCCGAAUGCCAAUUAAUUUAACUUGGGAGUCAGAACAUGGGUGAUAAGGUCCGUGUUCGAAAGGGAAACAGCCCAGACCACCAGCUAAGGUCCCAAAAUAUAUGUUAAGUGGAAAAGGAUGUGGCGUUGCCCAGACAACUAGGAUGUUGGCUUAGAAGCAGCCAUCAUUUAAAGAGUGCGUAAUAGCUCACUAGUCGAGUGACACUGCGCCGAAAAUGUACCGGGGCUAAACAUAUUACCGAAGCUGUGGAUUGUCCUUUGGACAAUGGUAGGAGAGCGUUCUAAGGGCGUUGAAGCAUGAUCGUAAGGACAUGUGGAGCGCUUAGAAGUGAGAAUGCCG